This is a long non-coding RNA of Mya arenaria, 364 nucleotides long. RefSeq lists it as uncharacterized. NCBI's taxonomy places the organism in Eukaryota, Metazoa, Mollusca, Bivalvia, Myida, Myidae. The transcript is spliced from 4 exons. The record is from RefSeq and is a predicted model, not a curated record.
CUGUCUGUUGAAGACCCCCCCCCCCCCACCAAGCUGCCCACCAGAGGCCAAGCUGUACUUGGUGUUUGCCAACAUGCUGUAAUUUCCAGCCUGGUUGCUGUAGCCACAGAGGAAUUUUCAAGGACAAGAACCAGUGCUGGUAAAACUGUGGUCUCUGUGGUUUUCCAUACCGGCUCUCGGCAAGGAUUUUCAAGAAAGGAAUACCAUCUCCAAAUCAUGAUGUGCCAAUAAGCUCCAGUUAGCUGCGGCCUUUUCCCCAGGCGGUAGUCCUGCAAUCUGAAUCCAGGAGAUGCAGCUCUGAAUCCAAUAUUUCAGAAGAAUGAAGAUGAAGCAGACCCAGGAGGAACUGUCUGUUGAAGACCCC